UACGUAGGGGGCAAGCGUUGUCCGGAUUUAUUGGGCGUAAAGAGCGUGUAGGCGGCCAGACAAGUCUGUUGUGAAAACUCGAGGCUCAACCUCGAGCUGUCGGUGGAAACUGUCUGGCUAGAGUCCGGAAGAGGAGAGUGGAAUUCCUGGUGUAGCGGUGAAAUGCGCAGAUAUCAGGAAGAACACCUAUGGCGAAGGCAGCUCUCUGGGACGGUACUGACGCUGAGACGCGAAAGCGUGGGGAGCGAACAGG
This 253-nucleotide ribosomal RNA is filed under the name uncultured bacterium. RNAcentral's name for it is "partial 16S ribosomal RNA". It matches the Rfam family "Bacterial small subunit ribosomal RNA", at positions 524 to 776 of the family's 1533-position model. The record is from RNAcentral.